CCUACGGGAGGCAGCAGUGGGGAAUAUUGGGCAAUGGGCGCAAGCCUGACCCAGCAACGCCGCGUGAAGGAAGAAGGCUUUCGGGUUGUAAACUUCUUUUCUCAGGGACGAAGAAAGUGACGGUACCUGAGGAAUAAGCCACGGCUAACUACGUGCCAGCAGCCGCGGCAAUACGUAGGUGGCAAGCGUUAUCCGGAUUUACUGGGUGUAAAGGUCGUGUAGGCGGGACUGCAAGUCAGAUGUGAAAACCACGGGCUCAACCUGUGGCCUGCAUUUGAAACUGUAGUUCUUGAGUACUGGAGAGGCAGACGGAAUUCCUAGUGUAGCGGUGAAAUGCGUAGAUAUUAGGAGGAACACCAGUGGCGAAGGCGGUCUGCUGGACAGCAACUGACGCUGAGGCGCGAAAGCGUGGGGAGCGAACAGGAUUAGAUACCCCGGUAGUC
Molecule: ribosomal RNA, 443 nt
Filed under: uncultured bacterium
Lineage: Bacteria
Description: partial 16S ribosomal RNA
Rfam family: Bacterial small subunit ribosomal RNA
Source: RNAcentral